AGAGUUUGAUCCUGGCUCAGGACGAACUUUGGCGGCGUGCCUAAUACAUGCAAGUCGAGCGAGCUUGCCUAGAUGAUUUUAGUGCUUGCACUAAAUGAAACUAGAUACAAGCGAGCGGCGGACGGGUGAGUAACACGUGGGUAACCUGCCCAAGAGACUGGGAUAACACCUGGAAACAGAUGCUAAUACCGGAUAACAACACUAGACGCAUGUCUAGAGUUUGAAAGAUGGUUCUGCUAUCACUCUUGGAUGGACCUGCGGUGCAUUAGCUAGUUGGUAAGGUAACGGCUUACCAAGGCAAUGAUGCAUAGCCGAGUUGAGAGACUGAUCGGCCACAUUGGGACUGAGACACGGCCCAAACUCCUACGGGAGGCAGCAGUAGGGAAUCUUCCACAAUGGACGAAAGUCUGAUGGAGCAACGCCGCGUGAGUGAAGAAGGGUUUCGGCUCGUAAAGCUCUGUUGGUAGUGAAGAAAGAUAGAGGUAGUAACUGGCCUUUAUUUGACGGUAAUUACUUAGAAAGUCACGGCUAACUACGUGCCAGCAGCCGCGGUAAUACGUAGGUGGCAAGCGUUGUCCGGAUUUAUUGGGCGUAAAGCGAGUGCAGGCGGUUCAAUAAGUCUGAUGUGAAAGCCUUCGGCUCAACCGGAGAAUUGCAUCAGAAACUGUUGAACUUGAGUGCAGAAGAGGAGAGUGGAACUCCAUGUGUAGCGGUGGAAUGCGUAGAUAUAUGGAAGAACACCAGUGGCGAAGGCGGCUCUCUGGUCUGCAACUGACGCUGAGGCUCGAAAGCAUGGGUAGGGAACUGGAUUAGAUACCCUGGUAGUCCAUGCCGUAAACGAUGAGUGGCUAAGUGUAGGGAAGGUUUCCGCCUCUCAAUUGCUGCAGCUAAACGCAUUAAGCAAUCCGCCUGGGGGGGUACGACCGCAAGGGUUGAAACUCAAAGGAAUUGAACGGGGGGCCCCGCACAAGCGGUGGAGCAUGUUGGUUUAAUUCGAAGCAACGCGAAAGAACCUUACCAGGUCUUGACAUCCAGUGCAAGCCUAAGAGAUUAGGUGUUCCCUUCGGGGACGCUGAGACAGGUAGUGCAUGGCUGUCGUCAGCUCGUGUCGUGAGAUGUUGGGUUAAGUCCCGCAACGAGCGCAACCCUUGUCAUUAGUUGCCAUCAUUAAGUUGGGCACUCUAAUGAGACUGCCGGUGACAAACCGGAGGAAGGUGGGGAUGACGUCAAGUCAUCAUGCCCCUUAUGACCUGGGCUACACACGUGCUACAAUGGACGGUACAACGAGAAGCGAACCUGCGAAGGCAAGCGGAUCUCUUAAAGCCGUUCUCAGUUCGGACUGUAGGCUGCAACUCGCCUACACGAAGCUGGAAUCGCUAGUAAUCGCGGAUCAGCACGCCGCGGUGAAUACGUUCCCGGGCCUUGUACUCACCGCCCGUCA
This 1441-nucleotide ribosomal RNA is filed under the name uncultured bacterium. RNAcentral's name for it is "bacterial SSU rRNA". It matches the Rfam family "Bacterial small subunit ribosomal RNA". The record is from RNAcentral.